This 439-nucleotide ribosomal RNA is filed under the name uncultured bacterium. RNAcentral describes it as "bacterial SSU rRNA". It matches the Rfam family "Bacterial small subunit ribosomal RNA", at positions 67 to 518 of the family's 1533-position model. The record is from RNAcentral.
CGGAAGUUUCGGAUGGAAGUUUAAGAACUAGUGGCGGACGGGUGAGUAACGCGUGGGUAACCUGCCUCAUACAGGGGGAUAACAGUUAGAAAUGACUGCUAACACCGCAUAAUAUAGUGAAACCGCAUGAUUUUUGCUAUCAAAGUAUUUAUAGGGUAUGAGAUGGGCCCGCGUCUGAUUAGCUAGUUGGUGGGGUAAAAGCCUACCAAGGCGACGAUCAGUAGCCGGCUUGAGAGAGUGACCGGCCACAUUGGGACUGAGACACGGCCCAAACUCCUACGGGAGGCAGCAGUGGGGAAUAUUGGACAAUGGGGGAAACCCUGAUCCAGCGACGCCCGCGUGAGUGAAGAAGUAUUUCGGUAUGUAAAGCUCUAUCAGCAGGGAAGAUAAUGACAGUACCUGACUAAGAAGCCCCGGCUAACUACGUGCCAGCAGCUGC